Molecule: long non-coding RNA, 1429 nt
Organism: Bombus impatiens (common eastern bumble bee)
Lineage: Eukaryota; Metazoa; Arthropoda; Insecta; Hymenoptera; Apidae
Exons: 3
Source: RefSeq, a predicted model, not a curated record
UUCGUGCCGACUCGCCGCUGAUCAAACCCCUCUCCUCCGACCCCGCAUUACCAAUCCCAUCGCCAGCAUACAAACAGACCUUCUCCCACCACUUGCUAACUACUUGUUGAUCUUCCAGGAACGAAUAGACGAUUCGUCGAACCUCGUGCUUUUACUUUUUCUUAUUUUUUGCUCCAUUUCCAUUUGUAUACAUAGAUUUAUUGAAAAUGCGAUUUAACGUAAUACUCGUGACACGAAAUGUAAGUAUCUUGGGUAUAGUAAAAUGUUAGAAAUUCAUAAUUGUAUUCGCUGUACAUUUACGUUGAAGAAAUUAGUGGAGCUCACUAUGGUAUUCUAGUGUAUUAUUAUUUCUUCCGUUCCCUUUGUGUGCUUCUUUAUCUUUUAUUUUAUUUACCUUUUGUUCUGUUUAAUUGCACUUUGCGCUUGACCGAAAUGGAACAACUCUUUGAAAUACAUUUCUGGAAAUACAGCAUUGCAUCAUUCCUAAAUGAAUCGUCAGGUUGUUAUACCUAGAUGAGAUAAUACAAUUACUCGAUAAUUACCAAAUUUUUCGAAGAAAUUCGGCGCGUCGUAUUUGUACAGUUAUCUACCUGUUGCCGCGAACGUGGCCAUCGAACGCUAUGUGGUGUAUGACGGAUAGAAAAAGGCGAUAAAAAUCAAUGAAAAGCGAAGAGCGUUGAAUCGAAUCGAAUCGAUGUAAGUAAAUAUCGAUAUUGAUUGUCAGAUUCUCAAGCACGAAGUACUUCGUAGGAAAUAUUGUUCCAGAGAAUCUCAAAUAACUUCAGUUCACUAAUCGUAAGUUUAACCCUAACCUAAUCAUAUUUUUCUAUCGUUGGGAAACAUUUCAAAUUUAAGGAAAACGUAAAAGAAUUGUUAUUGUCUGAUAUGCAUGACUUUUUAUUUGACUUUUACGCUGAAGAUAUUCUUAAAAUACUACAAAUUUCUUUUUGAGCUGUGUAUAAAGUGAGGUUGGGACAUGAAAAAAUCAAGAACUGCGGCAAAGUUAAUCUAUUAAAGACGAAACAGUGAAAAUACGAAAAUACGACAUAAUUAUAAAUGAAAAACAAGAUACAAGUCGAACGUACGAAAGAAUUUCAAUGAUUUGAGAAAAGAUAGUUAGUCAUAAUAUUCAAAUUUUUUGAAAUUGUGGAAUCAAUGUGAGAGAAGAAAUAAGAACAGAAAGGAUAUUAGAGAUAUCUUUAGGGUUUCCUUGCAUAAUCACAAUCUAUUAAAGAGUAGUCAAAAGUAAUAACGCAAAUUGGCACGAAAAAAGUUGUAAAUGAAAUAUAGCUUUACAAGUGUCCACGCUUCGGUGUCUGAUUUUAAACUCCUCGUGUCACAUCCACUGCCAUAUUCUUAUACUCUUGCUACAAAGGGAUGCAGUUUUAAAAUUGUUGUCAACCAACGCCAUGUUAAGCGCAUAAAUACA